RNAcentral lists this ribosomal RNA (467 nucleotides) under uncultured bacterium. RNAcentral's name for it is "partial 16S ribosomal RNA". It matches the Rfam family "Bacterial small subunit ribosomal RNA", at positions 28 to 506 of the family's 1533-position model. The record is from RNAcentral.
GACGAACGCUGGCGGCGUGCUUAACACAUGCAAGUCGAACGGAAAGGCCCUGCUUUUGUGGGGUGCUCGAGUGGCGAACGGGUGAGUAACACGUGAGUAACCUGCCCUUGACUUUGGGAUAACUUCAGGAAACUGGGGCUAAUACCGGAUAGGAGCUCCUGCUGCAUGGUGGGGGUUGGAAAGUUUCGGCGGUUGGGGAUGGACUCGCGGCUUAUCAGCUUGUUGGUGGGGUAGUGGCUUACCAAGGCUUUGACGGGUAGCCGGCCUGAGAGGGUGACCGGCCACAUGGGGACUGAGAUACGGCCCAGACUCCUACGGGAGGCAGCAGUGGGGAAUAUCGCACAAUGGGCGGAAGCCUGAUGCAGCAACGCCGCGUGCGGGAUGACGGCCUUCGGGUGGUAAACCGCUUUCGCCUGUGACGAAGCGUGAGUGACGGUAAUGGGUAAAGAAGCACCGGCUAACUACGU